This is a regulatory RNA element of Bacterioplanes sanyensis, 97 nucleotides long. It matches the Rfam family "Alpha operon ribosome binding site". Rfam says of the family: The bacterial alpha operon ribosome binding site is surrounded by this complex pseudoknotted structure. The record is from Rfam. Lineage: Bacteria; Pseudomonadati; Pseudomonadota; Gammaproteobacteria; Oceanospirillales; Oceanospirillaceae.
UUUUGAUCAAGCCGCCAUUAAUAUCUUGCGCCCUUUCAUCAAGUAAAGUGUAACGGAGUUAGACAUGGCCCGUAUUGCCGGUGUCAACAUUCCUGAC